This 460-nucleotide ribosomal RNA is filed under the name uncultured bacterium. RNAcentral's name for it is "partial 16S ribosomal RNA". It matches the Rfam family "Bacterial small subunit ribosomal RNA", at positions 338 to 795 of the family's 1533-position model. The record is from RNAcentral.
CCUACGGGAGGCAGCAGUGAGGAAUAUUGGUCAAUGGACGAGAGUCUGAACCAGCCAAGUAGCGUGAAGGAUGACUGCCCUAUGGGUUGUAAACUUCUUUUAUAUGGGAAUAAAACGUUCCACGUGUGGGAUUUUGUAUGUACUUUAUGAAUAAGGAUCGGCUAACUCCGUGCCAGCAGCCGCGGUAAUACGGAGGAUCCGAGCGUUAUCCGGAUUUAUUGGGUUUAAAGGGAGCGUAGAUGGGUUGUUAAGUCAGUUGGGAAAGUUUGCGGCUCAACCGUAAAAUUGCAAUUGAAACUGGCAGUCUUGAGUACAGUAGAGGUGGGCGGAAUUCGUGGUGUAGCGGUGAAAUGCUUAGAUAUCACGAAGAACUCCGAUUGCGAAGGCAGCUCACUGGACUGUAACUGACACUGAGGCUCGAAAGUGUGGGUAUCAAACAGGAUUAGAUACCCCUGUAGUC